Molecule: ribosomal RNA, 368 nt
Filed under: Staphylococcus aureus
Lineage: Bacteria; Bacillati; Bacillota; Bacilli; Caryophanales; Staphylococcaceae
Description: partial 23S ribosomal RNA
Rfam family: Bacterial large subunit ribosomal RNA
Source: RNAcentral
GAAACAUCUUAGUACCCGGAGGAAGAGAAAGAAAAUUCGAUUCCCUUAGUAGCGGCGAGCGAAACGGGAAGAGCCCAAACCAACAAGCUUGCUUGUUGGGGUUGUAGGACACUCUAUACGGAGUUACAAAGGACGACAUUAGACGAAUCAUCUGGAAAGAUGAAUCAAAGAAGGUAAUAAUCCUGUAGUCGAAAAUGUUGUCUCUCUUGAGUGGAUCCUGAGUACGACGGAGCACGUGAAAUUCCGUCGGAAUCUGGGAGGACCAUCUCCUAAGGCUAAAUACUCUCUAGUGACCGAUAGUGAACCAGUACCGUGAGGGAAAGGUGAAAAGCACCCCGGAAGGGGAGUGAAAUAGAACCUGAAACCGU